GAUGAACGCUGGCGGCGUGCCUAAUACAUGCAAGUCGAGCGAACAGACGAGGAGCUUGCUCCUCUGACGUUAGCGGCGGACGGGUGAGUAACACGUGGAUAACCUACCUAUAAGACUGGGAUAACUUCGGGAAACCGUAGCUAAUACCGGAUAAUAUUUUGAACCGCAUGGUUCAAUAGUGAAAGACGGUUUUGCUGUCACUUAUAGAUGGAUCCGCGCCGCAUUAGCUAGUUGGUAAGGUAACGGCUUACCAAGGCAACGAUGCGUAGCCGACCUGAGAGGGGGGUCGGCCACAAUGGAAAUGAGAAAAGGUCCAAAAUCCUAAGGGAGGCAGCAGUAGGGAAUCUUCCGCAAUGGGCGAAAGCCUGACGGAGCAACGCCGCGUGAGUGAUGAAGGUCUUCGGAUCGUAAAACUCUGUUAUUAGGGAAGAACAAAUGUGUAAGUAACUAUGCACGUCUUGACGGUACCUAAUCAGAAAGCCACGGCUAACUACGUG
Molecule: ribosomal RNA, 497 nt
Filed under: uncultured bacterium
Lineage: Bacteria
Description: partial 16S ribosomal RNA
Rfam family: Bacterial small subunit ribosomal RNA
Source: RNAcentral